RNAcentral lists this small RNA (28 nucleotides) under Bombyx mori (domestic silkworm). RNAcentral describes it as "ovarian small RNA-35705". Lineage: Eukaryota; Metazoa; Arthropoda; Insecta; Lepidoptera; Bombycidae. The record is from RNAcentral.
UGUCCUUUCCCUUUUGACGGGCAGUACC